AGUCGAGCGAGACCUUCGGGUCUAGCGGCGGACGGGUUAGUAACGCGUGGGAAUAUACCCUUCACUACGGAAUAGCCUCGGGAAACUGGGAGUAAUACCGUAUACGCCCUUUUGGGGAAAGAUUUAUCGGUGAAGGAUUAGCCCGCGUCUGAUUAGAUAGUUGGUGGGGUAAUGGCCUACCAAGUCUACGAUCAGUAGCUGGUUUGAGAGGAUGAUCAGCAACACUGGGACUGAGACACGGCCCAGACUCCUACGGGAGGCAGCAGUGGGGAAUCUUAGACAAUGGGCGCAAGCCUGAUCUAGCCAUGCCGCGUGAGUGACGAAGGCCUUAGGGUCGUAAAGCUCUUUCGCCAGAGAUGAUAAUGACAGUAUCUGGUAAAGAAACCCCGGCUAACUCCGUGCCAGCAGCCGCGGUAAUACGGAGGGGGUUAGCGUUGUUCGGAAUUACUGGGCGUAAAGCGCACGUAGGCGGAUUGGAAAGUAUGGGGUGAAAUCCCAGGGCUCAACCCUGGAACUGCCUUGUAAACUCCCAGUCUAGAGUUCGAGAGAGGUGAGUGGAAUUCCAAGUGUAGAGGUGAAAUUCGUAGAUAUUUGGAGGAACACCAGUGGCGAAGGCGGCUCACUGGCUCGAUACUGACGCUG
Molecule: ribosomal RNA, 642 nt
Filed under: bacterium SL1.21
Lineage: Bacteria
Description: bacterial SSU rRNA
Rfam family: Bacterial small subunit ribosomal RNA
Source: RNAcentral